UACGUAGGGGCCUAGCGUUGUCCGGAUUUAUUGGGCGUAAAGGGCUCGUAGGCGGUUCGGUAAGUCAGGUGUGAAAUCUCCACGCUCAACGUGGAGGCGCCACCUGAAACUGCCGUGACUCGAGUCCGGUAGGGGAGUGUGGAAUUCCUGGUGUAGCGGUGAAAUGCGCAGAUAUCAGGAGGAACACCGGUGGCGAAGGCGGAUCUCUGGGCCUUACCUGACGCUCAGGCGCGAAAGCUAGGGGAGCGAACAGG
This 254-nucleotide ribosomal RNA is filed under the name uncultured bacterium. Its description in RNAcentral is "partial 16S ribosomal RNA". It matches the Rfam family "Bacterial small subunit ribosomal RNA", at positions 524 to 776 of the family's 1533-position model. The record is from RNAcentral.